UACGGGGGGAGCAAGCGUUGUUCGGAUUUACUGGGCGUAAAGGGCGCGUAGGCGGCCAGCGCAAGUCAGUUGUGAAAUCUCCGAGCUUAACUCGGAAAGGUCAACUGAUACUGCGCGGCUAGAGUGCAGAAGGGGCAACUGGAAUUCUCGGUGUAGCGGUGAAAUGCGUAGAUAUCUGGAGGAAUACCGGUGGCGAAGGCGGCAUCCUGGACCGGCAUUGACGCUGAGGAGCGAAAGCUAGGGGAGCAAACGGG
RNAcentral lists this ribosomal RNA (254 nucleotides) under uncultured bacterium. Its description in RNAcentral is "partial 16S ribosomal RNA". It matches the Rfam family "Bacterial small subunit ribosomal RNA", at positions 524 to 776 of the family's 1533-position model. The record is from RNAcentral.